This 102-nucleotide small nucleolar RNA is filed under the name Colletotrichum orchidophilum. RNAcentral describes it as "Small nucleolar RNA snR60/Z15/Z230/Z193/J17". It matches the Rfam family "Small nucleolar RNA snR60/Z15/Z230/Z193/J17". Rfam says of the family: The members of this family belong to the C/D class of snoRNAs which contain the C (UGAUGA) and D (CUGA) box motifs. Most of the members of the box C/D family function in directing site-specific 2'-O-methylation of substrate RNAs. The record is from Rfam by way of RNAcentral. Lineage: Eukaryota; Fungi; Ascomycota; Sordariomycetes; Glomerellales; Glomerellaceae.
UUUGGUGUUAUGAUGAUACCCCUAGCACAACGCAUAGUUCAUCUGAAUUCUAUGAUGAAAACUUCCUUAUUUAGUCUUUCGCUCCCAUCUGACUACACCAUU